AUGUCAGCGGUCAAGAAUGUCAGGGUCUGGUCUUGGGUGAGCUUGAAGGAGGGCUUGGUGUGCUCGCUGAGGCCGAAAAGGGAGGACCUAGCUUUGGGGAGGGAGGAGGAGAGCUGGAUAUGUAUUAGUCCUUGUUGUGGGAUUUCCCAUCUUUGGUGCUUUGAGUCUGUCUAUUCGAAUUCUUUGCCGAUCUUUGGUUUCAUUCAUAGAUGCAUGCAUGAUUAGCACAAGUGCCAAUCAGAUUUCUAAUAUAAACGUGUGA
RNAcentral lists this long non-coding RNA (262 nucleotides) under Prunus dulcis (almond). RNAcentral describes it as "sRNA ncRNA". The record is from RNAcentral. Lineage: Eukaryota; Viridiplantae; Streptophyta; Magnoliopsida; Rosales; Rosaceae.